GCCUGCAGCUCAACUGCAGAACUGCGCCCGAAACUACACGGCUAGAGUAUUGGAGAGGUGAGUGGAAUUCCUGGUGUAGCGGUGAAAUGCGUAGAUAUCAGGAGGAACACCAACGGCGAAGGCAGCUCACUGGACAAUUACUGACGCUGAGGGACGAAAGCGUGGGGAGCGAAAGGGAUUAGAUACCCCUGUAGUCCACGCCGUAAACGUUGUGCACUCGCUAUUGGCGGCUUCGACCCCGUCAGUGGCUAAGCUAACGCGACAAGUGCACCGCCUGAGGACUACGGCCGCAAGGCUAAAACUCAAAGGAAUUGACGGGUCCCCGCACAAGCGGUGGAGCAUGUGGCUUAAUUCGAUGCAACGCGAAGAACCUUACCAGGCCUUGACAUGUGGUGGACCGCCCGCGAAAGCGGGCUUCUCUUCGGAGCCGCCUCACAGGUGCUGCAUGGCUGUCGUCAGCUCGUGUCGUGAGAUGUUCGGUUAAGUCCGUCAACGAGCGCAACCCCUGUCCUUAGUUGCCAUCAUUCAGUUGGGGACUCUAAGGAGACAAUCCCGCAUUCGCGGGAGGGAAGGUGGGGAUGAUGUCAAGUCAGUAUGGCCCUUACGGCCUGGGCUGCACACGUGCUACAAUGCCCGGUACAGUGGGAUGCUACUCCGCGAGGAGAUGCCAACCCUCAAAGCCGGGCCCAGUUCGGAUUGGAGUCUGCAACUCGACUCCAUGAAGCCGGAAUCGCUAGUAAUGGCGUAUCAGCAACGACGCCGUGAAUACGUUCCCGGGGAUUGUACACACCGCCCGUCACAUCAUGAAAGCCGGUUUUGCCCGAAGUACGUAAGCUAACCUCACGGAGGCAGCGUCCGACGGUAAGGCUGGUGAUUGGGAUGAA
This 884-nucleotide ribosomal RNA is filed under the name uncultured organism. Its description in RNAcentral is "bacterial SSU rRNA". It matches the Rfam family "Bacterial small subunit ribosomal RNA", at positions 600 to 1484 of the family's 1533-position model. The record is from RNAcentral.